AUGAGCCAACUGCUUUGGCUCCAAGCCCGAGAAACACCCUGCUUCAAGAAUAAAAUUGCACCUCUCAUGCCAACAGUUCAGACCACAUGGAAAUUUUCCACUUGGAAAUUCACACGUUGUUUCCUCUUGGUUUAUCAGUAGGCAGAAGGUAAGAAGACAAAUUAGCUUGCCUUGGGUUUAUCUCUCAGUUACUACAUGGAGGGAGGGGGGAAACUGGUUUAACCUUGGCUGCUUGAUAGUGGAUCUGAAAGUCUAGUAUUGCAUGAGAAGUCCCUGCUAGAUAAAAUGUAAUAUUGGGGUCCCAUCUCCAGUGACUGUGGUUUAGUAGUUCCGGGUGGGCCUUGGCAGUAUACGUUUUUGAGCAAGCA
This 368-nucleotide long non-coding RNA is filed under the name Sus scrofa (pig). RNAcentral describes it as "lncRNA (ENSSSCG00070024708.1)". The record is from RNAcentral. Lineage: Eukaryota; Metazoa; Chordata; Mammalia; Artiodactyla; Suidae.